AUUGGGAGAGAUCCCUACACCUAUCCGGUGUUUCAAGCCGGGCCAAGGGUUUGUUUAGGAAAAGAAAUGGCGUUCUUGCAAAUGAAGAGGGUGGUUUCUGGAGUCCUAAGUAGGUUUAAAGUGGUGCCAGCGGCAGAGGAUGGUGAGGAGCCGGUUUUUAUUGCCUAUCUCACGAAUAAGAUGAAAGGUGGCUUUCCAGUGACGUUUGAGAAAAGAAUUGCGUACUAAAUGAUUAAAUCUUGAAUAAAUUUGUUGGUUUAGUGUAAUAAAUUGCUUCUAUUACAAAAUAUUCACGUAGUUUGUUUUCUAAUCGUGGAUUAUUGUAAGUUUGUUCCAUUGAACAAAGCAAGAUUUA
RNAcentral lists this unclassified non-coding RNA (355 nucleotides) under Hevea brasiliensis (rubber tree). The record is from RNAcentral. Lineage: Eukaryota; Viridiplantae; Streptophyta; Magnoliopsida; Malpighiales; Euphorbiaceae.